RNAcentral lists this long non-coding RNA (577 nucleotides) under Coffea arabica (coffee). Its description in RNAcentral is "long non-coding RNA (CARA_LNC006501)". Lineage: Eukaryota; Viridiplantae; Streptophyta; Magnoliopsida; Gentianales; Rubiaceae. The record is from RNAcentral.
AUUUCGUGGCUUUUUCUUGUGAGUUUGUCGUUUGUUUGAUUUCUACAUAUUGUGAGGUGUAUUUUGAUGUAAGAUUUGUGAGCAUUUCACCACCCCCAUUCUUCUUCACAGUUGUGCCUCUUAGAAGGGGCUGAGAAAUAUCCAUUAGCACCAAUAAUUUCAGGUGCUUUCCCUCUUUCCCACGAUUCUGGGGAAUAAUCACCUUUUUAAAAAUCCUCUCUAUUUUCUUUCCAACCUCUCCAGAGACCUACGCCCACAUUGGUGCAUAUUUGAAUGCUUCCUCAUCUUCCUCUAUACCUUCUGUCCAGUUACUCAAAAUUAGUAACUGGCUGUCUAAAAUCCAUGGUCCCCCACUGAGAAUUCUCCUCCUGUACUCUUCUGCCGGUAAUGAGAACUGGAAGAGGUUGGGACCAAGCUCCACUGCGGUGAGCCCUUCUGGGUAGCCCCAUGCUGGUGUCACAAAGUUCCUUACCCUUGAAACAUUUGUUAACUCAUCUCCUCUUAUUUUCCCAAUUAAACUGCUCCUGCUCUCCUGAACACCACUAUCAACAUCCUCUAGAUCUAAACAAGCCCCCCC